Molecule: long non-coding RNA, 643 nt
Filed under: Homo sapiens (human)
Lineage: Eukaryota; Metazoa; Chordata; Mammalia; Primates; Hominidae
Description: non-protein coding lnc-PFKP-16:8
Source: RNAcentral
AGAGGUAGGAAGAAGUAGCCUCAUUUUAUGGUCAGGAUCCUUGGGGCUCAGAUGCGUUAAGUAAUUGGUCAAAAUCUUGCACAAAUCCUGCAAGUACAGAGGUAGAAAAUGAAUCCAGGUCUUUGAUUCCCAAACGUAAGCUCUUUCGCUGUGUCACUUCUCCUCUUCGUUUUCAUGCCAGUUCCAAGAAUUAACACUGCAGUUAGCUUUCUGUUUCCUUUCCCAAGAUGUACUAUGUAACAAUGACCAGGUAUCAAAAGAAAACCAAUUUCAGGCUGGGCGUGCUGGCUCAUGCCUGUAAUCCUAGCACUUUGGGAGACCGAGGCGGGUGGAUAACGAGGUCAGGAGAUAGAGACCAGCCUGGCCAACAUGGCAAAACCCUGUCUCUGUUAAAAAUACAAAAAUUAGGCUGGGCGUGGUGGCUCACGCCUAUAAUCCCAGCACUUUGGGGGGCCGAGGUGGGCAGAUCACGAGGUCAGGAGAUCGAGACCAUCCUGGCUAACACGGUGAAACCCCAUCUCUACUAAAGAUACAAAAAAUUAGCUGGAGUCCCGGCUACUUGGGAGGCUGAGGCAGGAGAAUGGCAUGAACCCAGGAGGUGGAGCUUGCAGUGAGCCGAGAUCGAGCCACUGCACUCCAGCCU